Xenopus tropicalis (tropical clawed frog) is the source of this 1450-nucleotide long non-coding RNA. RefSeq lists it as uncharacterized. The transcript has 2 exons. NCBI's taxonomy places the organism in Eukaryota, Metazoa, Chordata, Amphibia, Anura, Pipidae. The record is from RefSeq and is a predicted model, not a curated record.
CUUUAUAUCACAGAUAGAUAUUACAUUUUAUCAUUUGUUUACAGCGUUCCCCUAUGUAUUCUAAUUAUUCCUUCAUCACCCUCAUCAUCUUCGCUCUCUGUACUCUCAUGCCAUGAUCCCGUACAGCAAAUUCAUUUUAACCCAUUCACUGCCAAACAGAUGUAGAAAUUUUUGCUACAGUAUGACGUUUUCUCGCCUGUUUUGGGUCUGGUGCUAAUAUUUUGACUGUGUCCAAUGUUGAAUGAAAUGGUGGCAUCUUAUUACAGUCUAUCAGUCAGUUCUGCUCGCUGUCACCUUAACUGGAACCAUGAAAACAAGUCACAGCGAACAGACCAACAUGCAUUUUUAUCAGCACUGCCACUGCCUACAGUAGGUACUUGCACCAGCCCAUAAAACCUCUCGUCUUCAUCUUUUCCAAGUGCGUUUUUAUUGAUCCUUUGCUUUUCCUUUGACCCAGUCUGCUUGCAAUCUGUCCCCCUCCUCUGUAUGAAAAUGUAGGAGAAUGGCUGCUCCCCAGGCUGAAUAAUGACAUAUUGAGUGUUUAAAGGUCUUUGGCUUGCAGAUCUGGGUAAGUCACAGAUUUAUUUUUAAUUUUUAGAUGCCUGGUAUUUCCAAGCUAAUCACUAAUAAAUAUUACAAUAUGCACCUUUUUUUAUCUGACCACAAAACUGAUAUCCACUUCUCAUUGAUUACAGGAAAGAGAAGUUGAGUUAGGGAACUGCUUCUGAUGCCUUUAAAGAAAUAAGAGACGUUUGAAUGGCUUGUUGAUUGAUGUGCAGUCUGGUUCUCUGGGAGAAAGAAGUGUUUCAAUACAAGUGGCCAGGUCACCUAGUCAUGGCGACAGGUCUAAAGGGAUCUGCGCCUGGAAGCGUACAGAGGGGCGCAGCCGGCGAUUGUUUGCGAUGUUAGGAGAUCGCAACCCUCUUGAGGUUUUUCAGAAGGUCGUGAAGAAGUUCGUGUUUGGGGAGAGUAGCUGUAAGUGCUGAGGCCCCUUCAAUAUCCCAACCUCAAAUACCCAGAUAUUAAAUAAUAAAUGAUUGCAAAACCAUCAGUUUGUAAACGAAAACACAGUCUGGCCUUCCACUUGCUCUAUCAGGGAUAUUCACAUUUUUUAGGACGCAGAGAAGAGUUUAUUUCUGCAAGUUCUGAGAAAAGCAUUCAUAUAUAUAUAUAUAUAUAUAUAUAUAUAUAUAUAUAUAUAUAUAUAUAUAUAUAUAUAUAUCCAUUUCUUAUAGGUACCUGUUUAUCUUAUUAUUUUUUUGCAUUACAUGUGCCCAGUAGUGAUAUAUAUAUAUAUAUAUAUAUAUAUAUAUAUAUAAAAGAGCUCAGGUCAUUAAGUAAAGCUAUUAUAUGUGACUGUAUUACACAGCGACAUCCUUUGCUGAAAAUUAAAUGCUUUCUGUCUGUAAAUUGAGUUCUAUUAAAAAUAUUCAAAGUCAUCAAAUGCAAA